GAUAUAGUUUGUAUCUUCUGGCAGGAAUAAGAAAGCAAAAAUAAAACAAGCCCUCACAAUUCUUGGCUAGAUGAAUCUUCCAGGGUUUGAUCCCCUGGCAAAGCUCUGUGGUUUGGCUUUCUCUCUUCUCUUAGGAUUGUGUGUAUGCCUCAUUUUCUUUGAUUUCAUAGCACUAUUUAUGUUUAUCUGCUAGCUUUUGUCUUAUUUGCCAGUUCCUUUUCCUUUUCAAGAUAAUUCAUUGACUUGACUACUAAAUAUUUUCAUUUCUAUACAGUCCAGUCAUUUCCUCAAUUUGCCAUCUUCAGAACAAGGGUCUAGUUUAUAACCCACCUCUUUUCCUUUGUCCCUCUUUCCUUACUCUUUCCGCAGUUCCCUUUUUUCCCUUUCACUCUGUCAUUCCUUGCUUCUAACUCUGCUCUUUAGAAAGCUUUUAUCCUCCAAGUGAAGCUCUCUUUUUGGUUUUCUUUCUUUCUCUCUCUCUUUUUUUCUUUCCUCCUGGCUUUUUUACAUUUUGGCUGUUAUUAAAAAUGCUCUUCUUGGUACAAUUAUUGCUAUUUACUUUUAUGUCUCAGGCAUUAGCUUGCCAUCAGUGACUGACACUCACAACUUGGUCAAAAUUUGGAAUUUCUGUUUCAUAAAAAAUUCCAACAUAACAUUUCAUUUCAUCAGGUAACCAUGUUGAAAUGAAUAUUAUUCAAGUGCUUUCUCAUCUUAUGGCUUUAGAGAACACUUCCUGAACUGUUAAUGAAACUGGAAAUGACAACGAUAUUGCCCAUUCUAUUUUCUUCAGCAAAAUGAAAUGUAUUUUUUUUCAGCUAAAGGUUUUUGUCAUUGAAAAAGGAAUUUUGGACCAAACCAGGGAAUUUUCUUCCUUGUCAGAAGGUUUAGCUUUCAUGAAAGAGCAUGGAAGAGGAAAGAAAUGACAGUAAGAUUGAAUUAUGAACCCUUAGAAACUGAGAACAAGAACUGAUUGUAUUGCGAAAGCUAAAAUCACUGCUCUUGAUUAACACUGGGCAAUAGCAGUCAUCGGUGAUCACAUGCAUGAGAUUGCUGAAGCAGAUGUAGUGUGCAUAUUGCUCAUGCAGGUUAGAGGAGACAAAGGGAAAACAUUUACUUCAGUUUUCAAUUUAAUUUUUUAAGAGUACCAUAAAUACCACUUUAAAAGUCUGCUGGUUGCUUGAAAACUAAUUCCAGGAGUUCCUCAUCUUAACUGAAAAUAUUUGCAAGCCUUAGACAGAGAUCAUCAUAUUCCAGACUUCUUUACCAAUAUUAAACUUCGUUUCAGUUUUGCGUGACUCAUGCACUUGUAUCCCCUAGACUGGGUCUCAGGUCCUUCCUGUCUGCAGCACUGUCAUGGUGACCGUAAGCUGUUCACGCCAUUGCGACUGUAUGUCUAGUGGUUACCAAAAUCACAGCACUUUUACAUUCCCUUUUUACCUAUUCACCACUGCCUCACCUGAGUGACCUAACAUCUUUCUGUGGGUCUCGCUGUUACAGGAUGACUGUAAUCGUAUCUUACAGAGGUGUUACAACUCGUAAUUACUUUGUUUGUAGAGUGCUUUGAGGUUCUCUGACAAAAGUGAUUUCAGCAUGCAAAAUACCACAGCAAAAUAAACUAAUCUAGAUCGUAGAGGUCA
Molecule: long non-coding RNA, 1637 nt
Organism: Dromaius novaehollandiae (emu)
Lineage: Eukaryota; Metazoa; Chordata; Aves; Casuariiformes; Dromaiidae
Source: Ensembl